RNAcentral lists this unclassified non-coding RNA (333 nucleotides) under uncultured Pochonia. RNAcentral describes it as "sequence contains ITS1". The stretch from base 1 to 105 matches the Rfam family "5.8S ribosomal RNA", at positions 50 to 154 of the family's 154-position model. Lineage: Eukaryota; Fungi; Ascomycota; Sordariomycetes; Hypocreales; Clavicipitaceae. The record is from RNAcentral.
GAAAUGCGAUAAGUAAUGUGAAUUGCAGAAUUCAGUGAAUCAUCGAAUCUUUGAACGCACAUUGCGCCCGCCAGUAUUCUGGCGGGCAUGCCUGUUCGAGCGUCAUUUCAACCCUCAAGCCCCAGUGGCCUGGUGUUGGGGACCGGCGACCUCGCCCGGGGGAACACCCCCGGCGCGUCCGCCGCCCCCGAAAUGAAUUGGCGGCCCCGUCGCGGCCUCCUCUGCGUAGUAGCACAACCUCGCAGCGGGAGCGCGACGCGGCCACUGCCGUAAAACGCCCAACUUUUUUUUAGAGUUGACCUCGGAUCAGGUAGGAAUACCCGCUGAACUUAA